RNAcentral lists this unclassified non-coding RNA (395 nucleotides) under soil metagenome. RNAcentral describes it as "partial contains 5.8S ribosomal RNA, internal transcribed spacer 2, and large subunit ribosomal RNA". The stretch from base 1 to 122 matches the Rfam family "5.8S ribosomal RNA", at positions 35 to 154 of the family's 154-position model. The record is from RNAcentral.
GAUGAAGAACGCAGCGAAAUGCGAUACUUGGUGUGAAUUGCAGAAUCCCGUGAACCAUCGAGUCUUUGAACGCAAGUUGCGCCCGAAGCCAUUAGGCCGAGGGCACGUCUGCCUGGGCGUCACACAACGUUGCCCCCCCAAACCUCAACUUCCAAGAGGACGGGGGGCGGAUGCUGGCCUCCCGUGUGCCACGGCUCGCGGUUGGCCUAAAUGCGAGUACUCGGCGACGAGCGCCGCGGCAAUCGGUGGUUGUCUAACCCUCGGUGCCAUGCUGCGCGCGCGAUUCGCUCACUGUUACUCGACGACCCCAAUGCGUCGUAGCCACGACCCUCACAACGCGACCCCAGGUCAGGCGGGGCUACCCGCUGAGUUUAAGCAUAUCAAUAAGCGGAGGA